This 242-nucleotide unclassified non-coding RNA is filed under the name Hevea brasiliensis (rubber tree). The record is from RNAcentral. Lineage: Eukaryota; Viridiplantae; Streptophyta; Magnoliopsida; Malpighiales; Euphorbiaceae.
GUUGGAAAAGAUAUUCCUUAUUCUACCAUGGCUUCAAGUAGUUGCUAGUGGGGGGGCACAGGUUCAAUGGCUAGGCUCUUUCUAUAAGUAACUGGUAAAAAGAAGAAGAUUAUUUCUAAUUCUACUAUAGGCUCAGACGGAAUUUAUUUAGGGACUCAUUGACAUACUAAAAGGAAUUUUAUGAUACUCUUGGCUGCUGUUGGUGGUUCUUGGAGCUUUUGUCUUGUCCAAGAAGGAUCAAG